This 488-nucleotide ribosomal RNA is filed under the name Starmerella bacillaris. RNAcentral's name for it is "eukaryotic LSU rRNA". It matches the Rfam family "Eukaryotic large subunit ribosomal RNA", at positions 68 to 659 of the family's 3401-position model. The record is from RNAcentral. Lineage: Eukaryota; Fungi; Ascomycota; Dipodascomycetes; Dipodascales; Trichomonascaceae.
ACCAGGAUUGCCCUAGUAACGGCGAGUGAACAGGCAAGAGCUCAGAUUUGAAAGGCACUUUUGUGCCGUUGUAUUCUGAAGUUAGGGUCCUGAGAAACGAUGCUUAAGUCUUCUGGAAAGGAGCGCCAUGGAGGGUGAUAGCCCCGUCUAGCAUUGACCUCAUAUAGGAUCUUAACAUGGAGUCGAGUUGUUUGGGAAUGCAGCUCAAAUGGGUGGUAUGCUCCAUCUAAAGCUAAAUAUCUGCGAGAGACCGAUAGUAAACAAGUACUGUGAGGGAAAGAUGAAAAGAACUUUGAAAAGAGAGUGAAAAAGUACGUGAAAUUGUUGAAAUGGAAGGGUAGGCCGCUAACCAUGUAGAGCCGUGUUUGGGGGGAAGAUAAAUGCUGUAGAAUGUAGCUCCUCGGAGUAUUAUAGAUGCAGUUCAUAUUCCCACCCGAGCGCGAGGAUCUCAGGUUCUACUAAAUGGUGGUCUACCACCCGUCUUGAAC